GGCUAUCGAUGUUAAGAACAUACUCUACAAAGUGGCACCAAAAUCAUGGCAAGCAGAAGAGAAAGAAGAUUUACCUCUGAAACAGAGGUUUUUUCCGGCGAAGGUUGAAUCGGAGAAGACGGAGGCGCAUCGGAAGAUCACUUGAAAAUAGGCAAUUCAUGAUUUUAGCUUCUUGUUCAUAUUCACUUCUUCAUUUAAACUUCUUAUGUGAACUGAGAGAUUGAAUCUGGGGCUUAUCUCAACCCUUACCGAAGCUUCUAGGUAGCUGCAAUGGAGUUUAUGAGAUAGAGCUUUGAGUGAGAGAGAGGAUUGAAAUCGAGAGAGUGAAGAGUGAAAAAAAUUUGGAAAUGGUGGAAAAUGAAUCGUGAGGCUUGAAUGAGUGAAGAGUGAACUGAUUUAUAGGAUUUGAAUUUCAGUUAUGAGAUACAACUCAAAUUUCAUCGAAUUUCACUUGAAAUUUAACUGUUAGUUGCAAAUGAAAUAAUUUUGUUAGCCUUUGACAGUUAGUUGCGAAAUUCAAUUUCAGUUGGUAGGCUAGGCUCCGUGUGUGUUGUAUCUGUGUUAUCUACAGUGGAAUUCAAAUUAAAUUCCUAUGAAAAUGCAGGGUUGUAUGGAAAUUGGCUUGUUAGUGAAAAAUGAAUGAAAUUAGUUUGUGAAUUGGCUUAUGAAUGUCAAAGUUAAAUGUUAGAACUUGCAGAGUAGGGCUAUGUUAAUUGGCGUUAAGUUGAUGAAAUAACUUGGAAUGUUAAUUGGAAUUUUAUUCUUUUGAAGGGCCAUGAUCAAUUGGAGUUUAGCUUGUGAACUUGUGAUGGAAUGGUUAUGGCUUGUUGGCUUGCGUUUGGCAAUUAUGAGACUUUGGAAGGCUAUGUUUGAAUCAAAAGAGGCUCAUGGAACAUUGUUGAUCAAGGAUUUUUACCUUGUGUUUGAUUGAAAUGUAACUUUUGUUGUUUUGGAUUUUAAUUUAUGAAUUGUAUUGAAAUGUAAAUGAUUGGUUUAAAAUUGUAAUGGAAUUUGGUUUAUGCUGAAACUUGAAUGUAUUUGAAAACGAAUGUUAUGAAUUAAUGGAAAUGUUUG
RNAcentral lists this long non-coding RNA (1074 nucleotides) under Lathyrus oleraceus (garden pea). RNAcentral describes it as "Pisum sativum (pea) long non-coding RNA (PSAT_LNC001510)". The record is from RNAcentral. Lineage: Eukaryota; Viridiplantae; Streptophyta; Magnoliopsida; Fabales; Fabaceae.